RNAcentral lists this ribosomal RNA (546 nucleotides) under uncultured bacterium. RNAcentral's name for it is "bacterial SSU rRNA". It matches the Rfam family "Bacterial small subunit ribosomal RNA", at positions 9 to 546 of the family's 1533-position model. The record is from RNAcentral.
GAGUUUGAUCAUGGCUCAGAUUGAACGCUGGCGGCAUGCCUUACACAUGUAAGUCGAACGGCAGCACGGGGGCAACCCUGGUGGCGAGUGGCGAACGGGUGAGUAACAUAUCGGAACGUGCCCUGGAGUGGGGGAUAACUAGUCGAAAGAUUAGCUAAUACCGCAUACGAUCUACGGAUGAAAGUGGGGGAUCGCAAGACCUCAUGCUCGUGGAGCGGCCGAUAUCUGAUUAGCUAGUUGGUGGGGUAAAGGCCUACCAAGGCAUCGAUCAGUAGCUGGUCUGAGAGGACGACCAGCCACACUGGGACUGAGACACGGCCCAGACUCCUACGGGAGGCAGCAGUGGGGAAUUUUGGACAAUGGGCGCAAGCCUGAUCCAGCAAUGCCGCGUGAGUGAAGAAGGCCUUCGGGUUGUAAAGCUCUUUUGUCAGGGAAGAAACGGUGAGGGCUAAUAUCCCUUGCUAAUGACGGUACCUGAAGAAUAAGCACCGGCUAACUACGUGCCAGCAGCCGCGGUAAUACGUAGGGUGCCAGCAGCCGCGGUAC